Callithrix jacchus (white-tufted-ear marmoset) is the source of this 352-nucleotide non-coding RNA. The record is from RefSeq and is a predicted model, not a curated record. Lineage: Eukaryota; Metazoa; Chordata; Mammalia; Primates; Cebidae.
GCACUGCACGUUCACACAGCACACUGCUAAACUUAACUAAUGCAGUCGCAGUGGUCUUGGAGUUGAAGUGUUUUACCUGUGAAGGAGCCAAGGUAUAAACAGAGGCAUCGCGGAACGUCGGUGGAGCCAGUCCAUGCAGCAGAGGCAGAAAAUACUUCUCAGGCUGAUCUCUCAGUGUGUGAGAGAUGUGCAGACUCUAUGAGCAGAAUGCCAAGGAUUGUCUGCUUGCCCCUCUCAAGCUGCGUUCCAGGUUUGUACCUGCUCAGUGUUUAUUAACCUCCUCAGUGCUCACAUGGACUACUGCCAUAAUUCUCUCAAAAGUUGCUCAAGGCAGAUAUUUGCAACUUUAUUU